AAUCCAUAGGUUAAUGAGGCGAACCGGGGGAACUGAAACAUCUAAGUACCCCGAGGAAAAGAAAUCAACCGAGAUUCCCCCAGUAGCGGCGAGCGAACGGGGAGGAGCCCAGAGCCUGAAUCAGCAUGUGUGUUAGUGGAAGCGUCUGGAAAGGCGCGCGAUACAGGGUGACAGCCCCGUACACAAAAGCGCAUGUGCUGUGAGCUCGAUGAGUAGGGCGGGACACGUGGUAUCCUGUCUGAAUAUGGGGGGACCAUCCUCCAAGGCUAAAUACUCCUGACUGACCGAUAGUGAACCAGUACCGUGAGGGAAAGGCGAAAAGAACCCCGGCGAGGGGAGUGAAAAAGAACCUGAAACCGUGUACGUACAAGCAGUGGGAGCCCCACCACUAAGCCAGUGGUGAACUCCACAUACGCAUCCUUUGCUGAGGAUACGGUUAACGGAGCGAAAGCGACGUUCAACCGCAAAAGAAGCAGAGGGGGCUUAGUGGUGGGGUGACUGCGUACCUUUUGUAUAAUGGGUCAGCGACUUAUAUUCUGUAGCAAGGUUAACCGCAUAGGGGAGCCGGAGGGAAACCGAGUCUUAAUUGGGCGUUAAGUUGCAGGGUAUAGACCCGAAACCCGGUGAUCUAGCCAUGGGCAGGUUGAAGGUUGGGUAACACUAACUGGAGGACCGAACCGACUAAUGUUGAAAAAUUAGCGGAUGACCUGUGGCUGGGGGUGAAAGGCCAAUCAAACCGGGAGAUAGCUGGUUCUCCCCGAAAGCUAUUUAGGUAGCGCCUCGUGAA
Molecule: ribosomal RNA, 787 nt
Filed under: Salmonella enterica subsp. enterica serovar Sundsvall
Lineage: Bacteria; Pseudomonadati; Pseudomonadota; Gammaproteobacteria; Enterobacterales; Enterobacteriaceae
Description: partial 23S ribosomal RNA
Rfam family: Bacterial large subunit ribosomal RNA
Source: RNAcentral